GCUGAGCCCUCAGCAGGACAGUCUAUCCACUUCCCUACGUUGGUUUAUUUUUCUUUGAAGCUUACAUCAUCUCCUGGCUUCAACAGAGGCCACGUUAUGUGACUCUGUAUGUGUCACUGAAAGCAGCUCCAGCAGGCAGGGACUUUGCUGGGCUCUAGGCUGUGUCCCCAGCCCUUGGCAUCACAAGUAGGUGCUCUGUCAACAUUUGCUGAGGGUAGGAACCAGUGAGUGGCUGGAAAGCUGUGCUCCUGAGGUUGGGGUCUGGGCUCGAGUCCCACUGGGUGACCCAGCACCCUGUUCCCUUUCUGUUCCCCGGCUUCCCCAGUUGAGCUGUGAGGCACUGAGGUCCCCAGGAAGGUUCUUGGGUGGGAAAGGCAGACCCCAGGCUGUGGAGGGGACAGGGCCUGAGGGGAGGAAGGGCCGGGCUUGCCCCUGGUCCUGGGGUUUGGAGACAGCCCAGCUCUGCUCCCACCCCCUGUGGCAUCUGCCUGCAGCCAGGGUCAUCUGGAGCCUGCCAGCUUGGCGCUGGGCUGGAGCAGGGCCACCUGACAGCUGGCAGGGACAGCUCUAGGGACAAGCCGGCCUGCUGGACGCCGGACCCUGCGUGAUGGAUGGGGCGAUCCCUUAACCCCACACCCAGCAGCCUCUCCGCUGGCUCACAAAGCUUUGCCUGGGCCUGAGUGGGAUUUUGCCCCCACAGGGUACCCCUUUAGUGGUGAGGACACCGAGGCUCAGAAGGACAGCUGCCUCACGGAGGGGACAUUGCUAGGAUGGG
This 775-nucleotide long non-coding RNA is filed under the name Marmota monax (woodchuck). Lineage: Eukaryota; Metazoa; Chordata; Mammalia; Rodentia; Sciuridae. The record is from RNAcentral.